Molecule: ribosomal RNA, 857 nt
Filed under: uncultured bacterium
Lineage: Bacteria
Description: bacterial SSU rRNA
Rfam family: Bacterial small subunit ribosomal RNA
Source: RNAcentral
ACAUGCAAGUCGAACGGUAACGGCGAGGGCAACCCUGCGACGAGUAGCGAACGGGUGAGUAAUACAUCGGAACAUAUCCAGUAGCGGGGAUAACCUAUCGAAAGAUUGGCUAAUACCGCAUACGAUCUACGAAUGAAAGCGGGGACCGCAAGGCCUCGCACUAUUGGAGUGGCCGAUGUCAGAUUGGCUAGUUGGUGGGGUAAAAGCCUACCAAGGCGACGAUCUGUAGCUGGUCUGAGAGGACGAUCAGCCACACUGGAACUGAGACACGGUCCAGACUCCUACGGGAGGCAGCAGUGGGGAAUUUUGGACAAUGGGCGCAAGCCUGAUCCAGCCAUGCCGCGUGCAGGAAGAAGGCGUUAUGCGUUGUAAACUGCUUUUGCCAGGGGAUAAAAAUUCCAUGCGUGGAAGAUUGAAGGUACCUGGUGAAUAAGCCACGGCUAACUACGUGCCAGCAGCCGCGGUAAUACGUAGGUGGCAAGCGUUGUCCGGAUUUAUUGGGUUUAAAGGGUGCGUAGGCGGCCCUGUAAGUCAGUGGUGAAAUACUCCAGCUUAACUGGAGGGGUGCCAUCGAUACUGCAGGGCUUGAGUGGAGUCGAAGUAGGCGGAAUUGACGGUGUGGCGGUGAAAUGCUUAGAUAUCGUCAAGAACACCGAUAGUGAAGACAGUUUACUAGGCUUCUACUGACGCCGAGGCACGAAAGUGUGGGGAUCAGACAGGAUUAGAUACCCUGGUAGUCCACACUGUAAACGUUGAUUACUCGCUGUUGGCGAUACACAGCCAGCGGCCAAGCGCAAGCGAUAAGUAAUCCACCUGGGGAGUACGCCGGCAACGGUGAAACUCAAAAGAAUUGACGG